Molecule: ribosomal RNA, 230 nt
Filed under: Mesothuria multipora
Lineage: Eukaryota; Metazoa; Echinodermata; Holothuroidea; Aspidochirotida; Synallactidae
Description: partial 16S ribosomal RNA
Rfam family: Bacterial large subunit ribosomal RNA
Source: RNAcentral
UUUUGGUUGGGGUAACCAUGGAGUUUAAAUCUCUAGAAUUUAUAGAAGAGUUUUCCUCUCUAAAAAAUCUUUUUGAACCAGUUAUUUCUGAAAUCAGAAUAAGUUACCGCAGGGAUAACAGCGUUAUCUUCUUUGAGAGUCCUUAUUGACAAGAAGGAUUGCGACCUCGAUGUUGGAUUGGGACAUCCUUAGGGUGCAGCAGCUCUAAAGGGUUGGACUGUUCGUCCAUU